Molecule: transfer RNA, 89 nt
Filed under: bacterium
Lineage: Bacteria
Description: tRNA-Ser
Rfam family: tRNA
About the family: Transfer RNA (tRNA) molecules are approximately 80 nucleotides in length. Their secondary structure includes four short double-helical elements and three loops (D, anti-codon, and T loops).
Source: RNAcentral
GGAAGGGUCGCAUAGCUGGCCUAGUGCACGUGCUUGGAAAGCACGCAACCCGAAAGGGUUCGCGAGUUCGAAUCUCGCCCCUUCCGCCA